UGUGCUAAUACCGCAUAAUCUCUCAGGAGAAAAGCAGGGGAUCGCAAGACCUUGCGCUUUAGGAGCGGCCGAUGCCUGAUUAGCUUGUUGGUAAGGUAAAAGCUCACCAAGGCUUCGAUCAGUAGCUGGUCUGAGAGGACGACCAGCCACACUGGGACUGAGACACGGCCCAGACUCCUACGGGAGGCAGCAGUGGGGAAUUUUGGACAAUGGGGGAAACCCUGAUCCAGCCAUGCCGCGUGAGUGAAGAAGGCCUUCGGGUUGUAAAGCUCUUUCAGCCGGAACGAAACAGU
Molecule: ribosomal RNA, 293 nt
Filed under: uncultured Pseudomonadota bacterium
Lineage: Bacteria; Pseudomonadati; Pseudomonadota
Description: uncultured proteobacterium partial 16S ribosomal RNA
Rfam family: Bacterial small subunit ribosomal RNA
Source: RNAcentral